RNAcentral lists this ribosomal RNA (253 nucleotides) under uncultured bacterium. RNAcentral describes it as "partial 16S ribosomal RNA". It matches the Rfam family "Bacterial small subunit ribosomal RNA", at positions 524 to 776 of the family's 1533-position model. The record is from RNAcentral.
UACGUAGGGGGCAAGCGUUGUCCGGAAUCAUUGGGCGUAAAGAGCGUGUAGGCGGUUCAGUAAGUCUGCUGUGAAAGUCCAGGGCUCAACCCUGGGAUGCCGGUGGAUACUGCUGGACUAGAGUGCGGAAGAGGCGAGUGGAAUUCCCGGUGUAGCGGUGAAAUGCGCAGAUAUCGGGAGGAACACCAAUUGCGAAGGCAGCUCGCUGGGACGUGACUGACGCUGAGACGCGAAAGCGUGGGGAGCAAACAGG